RNAcentral lists this ribosomal RNA (254 nucleotides) under uncultured bacterium. RNAcentral's name for it is "partial 16S ribosomal RNA". It matches the Rfam family "Bacterial small subunit ribosomal RNA", at positions 524 to 776 of the family's 1533-position model. The record is from RNAcentral.
UACAGAGGGGGCAAGCGUUGUUCGGAAUUACUGGGCGUAAAGGGCGCGUAGGCGGCCAGUGCAAGUCAGUUGUGAAAUCUCCGAGCUUAACUCGGAAAGGUCAACUGAUACUGCUCGGCUAGAGUGCGGAAGGGGCAACUGGAAUUCUUGGUGUAGCGGUGAAAUGCGUAGAUAUCAAGAGGAACACCUGCGGCGAAGGCGGGUUGCUGGGCCGACACUGACGCUGAUGCGCGAAAGCUAGGGGAGCGAACGGG